Molecule: non-coding RNA, 246 nt
Organism: Pelobates cultripes (western spadefoot toad)
Lineage: Eukaryota; Metazoa; Chordata; Amphibia; Anura; Pelobatidae
Source: the annotation of a GenBank genome assembly
CUUGCUGGCUGUAAGCCUGUGGCUUGCUGUAGGCCUGUGGGCUGGCUACUGGCCUGUGGGCUGGCUAACUGGCUGGCUACUGGCCAGCCUGUGGGGUGGCUGGCUGGCUACUGGGGCACUUGUAGAUUAUUUAAAGAAAUAAUCCAUGCACAAUAACCACUACUGCUCCAGAGUAAGUAGUCAAACCGUUUAAGAACAGUUUGACAACUUACCUGGGGUCUGCUGGGAUAUGAGGCUGUAGUUGGG